UAAUACGUAGGAGGCGAGCGUUAUCCGGAUUUAUUGGGCGUAAAGAGGGCGUAGGCGGCCUUUCAAGUCGAAUAUAAAAUCUCCCAGCUUAACUGGGAGGGACUAUGCGAUACUGUUAGGCUGGAGGGCAGCAGAAGGAGGUGGAAUUCCCGGUGGAGUGGUGAAAUGCGUAGAUAUCGGGAGGAACACCAGUGGCGAAGGCGGCCUCCUAGGCUGUUUCUGACGCUGAGGCCCGAAAGCGUGGGGAGCGAACAGGAUUAGAUACCCUGGUAGUCCACGCCGUAAACGAUGGAUACUAGGUAUGGGGAGUAUCGACCCUCUCCGUGCCGUAGCUAACGUGUUAAGUAUCCCGCCUGGGGAGUACGGCCGCAAGGCUA
Molecule: ribosomal RNA, 377 nt
Filed under: uncultured Chloroflexota bacterium
Lineage: Bacteria; Bacillati; Chloroflexota
Description: bacterial SSU rRNA
Rfam family: Bacterial small subunit ribosomal RNA
Source: RNAcentral